AGUGAACGCUGGCGGUAGGCCUAACACAUGCAAGUCGAACGGCAGCACAGUAAGAGCUUGCUCUUACGGGUGGCGAGUGGCGGACGGGUGAGGAAUACAUCGGAAUCUACUUUUUCGUGGGGGAUAACGUAGGGAAACUUACGCUAAUACAGCAUACGACCUACGGGUGAAAGCAGUGGAUCUUCGCACCUUGCGCGAUUGAAUGCGCCGAUGUCGGAUUAGCUAGUUGGCGGGGUAAAGGCCCACCAAGGCGACGAUCCGUAGCUGGUCUGAGAGGAGGGUCGGCCGCACUGGAACUGAGACACGGUCCAGACUCCUACGGGAGGCAGCAGUGGGGAAUAUUGGACAAUGGGCGCAAGCCUGAUCCAGCCAUACCGCGUGGGUGAAGAAGGCCUUCGGGUUGUAAAGCCCUUUUGUUGGGAAAGAAAAGCAGCAGGUUAAUACCCCGCUGUUCUGACGGUACCCAAAGAAUAAGCACCGGCUAACUUCGUG
RNAcentral lists this ribosomal RNA (492 nucleotides) under uncultured bacterium. RNAcentral's name for it is "partial 16S ribosomal RNA". It matches the Rfam family "Bacterial small subunit ribosomal RNA", at positions 29 to 507 of the family's 1533-position model. The record is from RNAcentral.